GUUUUAGACAUUAUGCUAAUUAUCAUAGUAAUGGCACACUCUUUAGGAAUAUACCUGCUUUUAUUUGACGCACACUAUAGCCAUACGUUACCUGGAAACAUAACACAACGCAUAUCAUUAAUUCCUCAGCAUAAUGCCUCAUCCCACCUACUCAGGCUAUGUUUUACUACGCUCUGAAGUGUUUUAUGCUUUGGUCACACAUCAGUUUAAUACUAUCGCGCAACUGAGCUACUAUGUCGUAAAGUGCUGGGUUUCUUAAUUUAGCUGCAUGCCUCAUGUCUUGCUUAAAUAGCUGUUGUAACGAAAAGGGCCAUCCC
Molecule: non-coding RNA, 317 nt
Organism: Pelobates cultripes (western spadefoot toad)
Lineage: Eukaryota; Metazoa; Chordata; Amphibia; Anura; Pelobatidae
Source: the annotation of a GenBank genome assembly